GACGAACGCUGGCGGCGUGCUUAACACAUGCAAGUCGAACGCUGAAGCCCAGCUUGCUGGGUGGAUGAGUGGCGAACGGGUGAGUAACACGUGAGUAACCUGCCCCCUUCUUUGGGAUAACGCCCGGAAACGGGUGCUAAUACUGGAUAUUCACUGGCCUUCGCAUGGGGGUUGGUGGAAAGGUUUUUUCUGGUGGGGGAUGGGCUCGCGGCCUAUCAGCUUGUUGGUGGGGUGAUGGCCUACCAAGGCUUUGACGGGUAGCCGGCCUGAGAGGGUGACCGGUCACAUUGGGACUGAGAUACGGCCCAGACUCCUACGGGAGGCAGCAGUGGGGAAUAUUGCACAAUGGGCGAAAGCCUGAUGCAGCGACGCCGCGUGAGGGAUGACGGCCUUCGGGUUGUAAACCUCUUUCGCUCAUGGUCAAGCCGCAACUCAAGGUUGUGGUGAGGGUAGUGGGUAAAGAAGCGCCGGCUAACUACGUGCCAGCAGCCGCGGUAAUACGUAGGGCGCGAGCGUUGUCCGGAAUUAUUGGGCGUAAAGGGCUUGUAGGCGGUUGGUCGCGUCUGCCGUGAAAUCCUCUGGCUUAACUGGGGGCGUGCGGUGGGUACGGGCUGACUUGAGUGCGGUAGGGGAGACUGGAACUCCUGGUGUAGCGGCGGAAUGCGCAGAUAUCAGGAAGAACACCGGUGGCGAAGGCGGGUCUCUGGGCCGUUACUGACGCUGAGGAGCGAAAGCGUGGGGAGCGAACAGG
Molecule: ribosomal RNA, 751 nt
Filed under: uncultured Actinomyces sp.
Lineage: Bacteria; Bacillati; Actinomycetota; Actinomycetes; Actinomycetales; Actinomycetaceae
Description: bacterial SSU rRNA
Rfam family: Bacterial small subunit ribosomal RNA
Source: RNAcentral